UACGAAGGGGGCUAGCGUUGCUCGGAAUCACUGGGCGUAAAGCGCACGUAGGCGGCUUGCUAAGUCAGGGGUGAAAUCCUGGAGCUCAACUCCAGAACUGCCCUUGAUACUGGCGGGCUUGAGUCCGGGAGAGGUGAGUGGUACUGCGAGUGUAGAGGUGAAAUUCGUAGAUAUUCGCAAGAACACCAGUGGCGAAGGCGGCUCACUGGCCCGGUACUGACGCUGAGGUGCGAAAGCGUGGGGAGCAAACAGG
Molecule: ribosomal RNA, 253 nt
Filed under: uncultured bacterium
Lineage: Bacteria
Description: partial 16S ribosomal RNA
Rfam family: Bacterial small subunit ribosomal RNA
Source: RNAcentral